CCUACGGGUGGCAGCAGUGGGGAAUAUUGCGCAAUGGGCGAAAGCCUGACGCAGCGACGCCGCGUGAGGGAUGAAGGUCUUCGGAUCGUAAACCUCUGUCAGCAGGGAAGAACGGUCACUGUGCUAAUCAGCAGUGAAUUGACGGUACCUGCAAAGGAAGCACCGGCUAACUCCGUGCCAGCAGCCGCGGUAAUACGGAGGGUGCGAGCGUUAAUCGGAUUUACUGGGCGUAAAGCGCUCGUAGGCGGUAGGUCAAGUCAAGGGUGAAAUCCCCGAGCUCAACGUGGGAACUGCCGUUGAAACUGGCAAACUUGAGUGUGUGAGAGGUUAGUGGAAUUCCGGGUGUAGGGGUGAAAUGCGUAGAUAUCUGGAGGAACAUCGGUGGCGAAGGCGACUAACUGGCACAUAACUGACGCUGAGGAGCGAAAGCGUGGGUAGCAAACAGGAUUAGAUACGCCAGUAGUC
RNAcentral lists this ribosomal RNA (465 nucleotides) under uncultured bacterium. Its description in RNAcentral is "partial 16S ribosomal RNA". It matches the Rfam family "Bacterial small subunit ribosomal RNA", at positions 338 to 795 of the family's 1533-position model. The record is from RNAcentral.